Molecule: ribosomal RNA, 1262 nt
Filed under: Halomonas sp. KHS1
Lineage: Bacteria; Pseudomonadati; Pseudomonadota; Gammaproteobacteria; Oceanospirillales; Halomonadaceae
Description: bacterial SSU rRNA
Rfam family: Bacterial small subunit ribosomal RNA
Source: RNAcentral
AAUGCAUAGGAAUCUGCCCGGUAGUGGGGGAUAACCUGGGGAAACUCAGGCUAAUACCGCAUACGUCCUACGGGAGAAAGCAGGGGAUCUUCGGACCUUGCGCUAUCGGAUGAGCCUAUGUCGGAUUAGCUGGUUGGUGAGGUAACGGCUCACCAAGGCGACGAUCCGUAGCUGGUCUGAGAGGAUGAUCAGCCACAUCGGGACUGAGACACGGCCCGAACUCCUACGGGAGGCAGCAGUGGGGAAUAUUGGACAAUGGGGGCAACCCUGAUCCAGCCAUGCCGCGUGUGUGAAGAAGGCCUUCGGGUUGUAAAGCACUUUCAGUGGGGAAGAAGGCCUUGGGGUUAAUACCCUCGAGGAAGGACAUCACCCACAGAAGAAGCACCGGCUAACUCCGUGCCAGCAGCCGCGGUACGGAGGGUGCGAGCGUUAAUCGGAAUUACUGGGCGUAAAGCGCGCGUAGGCGGCUUGGUAAGCCGGUUGUGAAAGCCCCGGGCUCAACCUGGGAAUGGCAUCCGGAACUGUCAGGCUAGAGUGCAGGAGAGGAAGGUAGAAUUCCCGGUGUAGCGGUGAAAUGCGUAGAGAUCGGGAGGAAUACCAGUGGCGAAGGCGGCCUUCUGGACUGACACUGACGCUGAGGUGCGAAAGCGUGNGUAGCANACAGGAUUAGAUACCCUGGUAGUCCACGCCGUANACGAUGUCGACUAGCCGUUGGGGUCCUCGAGACCUUUGUGGCGCAGUUAACGCGAUAAGUCGACCGCCUGGGGAGUACGGCCGCAAGGUUAAAACUCAAAUGAUAAUUGACGGGGGCCCGCACAAGCGGUGGAGCAUGUGGUUUAAUUCGAUGCAACGCGAAGAACCUUACCUACCCUUGACAUCCUCGGAAGCCGACAGAGAUGUUGGUGUGCCUUCGGGAGCCGAGUGACAGGUGCUGCAUGGCUGUCGUCAGCUCGUGUUGUGAAAUGUUGGGUUAAGUCCCGUAACGAGCGCAACCCUUGUCCCUAUUUGCCAGCGAUUCGGUCGGGAACUCUAGGGAGACUGCCGGUGACAAACCGGAGGAAGGUGGGGACGACGUCAAGUCAUCAUGGCCCUUACGGGUAGGGCUACACACGUGCUACAAUGGUCGGUACAAAGGGUUGCGAGUUCGCGAGGACGAGCUAAUCCCGAAAAGCCGAUCUCAGUCCGGAUCGGAGUCUGCAACUCGACUCCGGAAGUCGGAAUCGCUAGUAUCGGAAUCAGAAGUCACGUAACUGACCGUUAAA